Molecule: ribosomal RNA, 253 nt
Filed under: uncultured bacterium
Lineage: Bacteria
Description: partial 16S ribosomal RNA
Rfam family: Bacterial small subunit ribosomal RNA
Source: RNAcentral
UACAGAGGUCUCAAGCGUUGUUCGGAAUCACUGGGCGUAAAGCGCAUGUAGGUGGCUUUUCAAGUCAACUGUGAAAGCCCAGGGCCUAACCCUGGAAGUGCAGUUGAUACUGCUAAGCUUGAGUACGAGAGAGGAUAGUGGAAUUUCUGGUGUAGUGGUGAAAUACGUAGAUAUCAGAAGGAACAUCGGUGGCGAAGGCGGCUAUCUGGCUCGAUACUGACACUGAGAUGCGAAAGCGUGGGGAGCAAACAGG